AGCAAUCUCUCUCCAAUUCGAAGUCUGAGUUCUUGAUUUAAACAGAAUUUGUUUUUCUAACCAGUUGGGAAGCGUCUCUCCGAGUUGGAAGCAGAAACUAGGAUGUUUGCCCCACUCCCCACUUGAACUCUGCCCUCUGAAUAAAAAAAAAAAAGUCACUCUUACUCAUUUUCUAGCUUCAGACCAAAGGACAAGACGGAAAGAGCCCUCUGAGAUGAUAUUUUCACAUUUUUAAAAUUCUUUCUCCUUCUUGAAUGAACGCCAUACUGGACAGCAAGGAGGUGCCCACACUCACCUGUGUGGACAGCCCCGAUGUUCUGCCUGAGGAGCACAGAUGAAAACCACAACUUCUCGACAGUCUGCCUAGUGAGCUGCGGCCAAGUCAAGCCUCCUUGCCCCUGUGUCUCUCCAAGGAAGAGAUAUCAGGUGCCAGUGACCCAGGGAAGCUUCCAUUUGUGGAGCCCCUUCUUCAAAACUCGGCCCCAGUCCUCAUAACAGCAUCCUUGGGGGGAAGGUUGAUGCAGCAGGGAGAGAAACAGGACCCAUGAGCACCGUGUACCUAGGACUCAGGAACUUCACCUGCUCUGAAGUGUGUUAACUUACCCUUCCUCUCUCCCCUCACUUCCCUCCGUGUGACUUAGGUUGAGUUUAAUAAACUGUGUGAUUCAAGCAUCUGAA
Molecule: long non-coding RNA, 678 nt
Organism: Herpailurus yagouaroundi (jaguarundi)
Lineage: Eukaryota; Metazoa; Chordata; Mammalia; Carnivora; Felidae
Exons: 2
Source: RefSeq, a predicted model, not a curated record